UCUUCUUCAUCUACCAACGCCAACAAUGGCGUCUCUACAACACACCACAGCUUCAAUCUACUCCAAAUCAAUCCCCAAAACCACAACAACCCUCACCCCAAAACCCAUCCUCAACCUCAUCCUAUCCCGCACCACCUUCACCUCCCCAAAACUCAAACUCUCCAAAACCAAACCCCGCCGCACCGGCGGCGGCGCACUCGGCUCCACAAUGAACUCCCCAGCCGCCGCCAGCUACGCCAGCGCAUUAGCCGAUUUAGCCAAAUCCAACAACACCCUCGACGCCACCACUGCAGACAUCGACAAAAUCGAAGAACUCUUCACCGACCCCAAGGU
This 333-nucleotide long non-coding RNA is filed under the name Medicago truncatula (barrel medic). RNAcentral's name for it is "long non-coding RNA (MTRU_LNC002347)". Lineage: Eukaryota; Viridiplantae; Streptophyta; Magnoliopsida; Fabales; Fabaceae. The record is from RNAcentral.